CCGGCUAGCACAGUCGUUAGAGCAUGAGACUCUUAAUCUCAGGGUCGUGGGUUCAUGCCCCAGGCAGCUGGA
Molecule: transfer RNA, 72 nt
Filed under: Cricetulus griseus (Chinese hamster)
Lineage: Eukaryota; Metazoa; Chordata; Mammalia; Rodentia; Cricetidae
Rfam family: tRNA
About the family: Transfer RNA (tRNA) molecules are approximately 80 nucleotides in length. Their secondary structure includes four short double-helical elements and three loops (D, anti-codon, and T loops).
Source: Rfam by way of RNAcentral